UGAGCAAUCUGCCCUUCUCAUCGGAAUAAGCGUUGGAAACGACGUCUAAUGCCGAAUACGACCUCCUUUCGCAUGAUCGGAGGUGGAAAGCUCCGGCGGAGAAGGAUGAGCUCGCGGCCUAUCAGCUAGUUGGUGUGGGUAAUGGCCCACCAAGGCGACGACGGGUAGCCGGCCUGAGAGGGUGACCGGCCACACGUGGGACUGAGACACGGCCCAGACCUCCGUACGGGGAGCGAGGG
RNAcentral lists this ribosomal RNA (239 nucleotides) under uncultured bacterium. RNAcentral's name for it is "partial 16S ribosomal RNA". It matches the Rfam family "Bacterial small subunit ribosomal RNA", at positions 118 to 349 of the family's 1533-position model. The record is from RNAcentral.